UUCCAAAAUGCUGAGUUCAGUUCAGGGCAGCUUCCCCGUUCUGUUGAAGAAACAUCAGGACAUCGGAACGCAGGCCAGGAGAGAUGAUUAGGUAGAAAGCAUUGCUCUAUUCAUUUACCUCCCAGACCAUGAAA
Molossus molossus (Pallas's mastiff bat) is the source of this 134-nucleotide small nucleolar RNA. Lineage: Eukaryota; Metazoa; Chordata; Mammalia; Chiroptera; Molossidae. The record is from RefSeq and is a predicted model, not a curated record.